This 292-nucleotide ribosomal RNA is filed under the name uncultured bacterium. Its description in RNAcentral is "partial 16S ribosomal RNA". It matches the Rfam family "Bacterial small subunit ribosomal RNA", at positions 505 to 796 of the family's 1533-position model. The record is from RNAcentral.
GUGCCAGCAGCCGCGGUAAGACGAACCGUGCGAACGUUGUUCGGAAUCACUGGGCUUAAAGGGCGCGUAGGCGGAUAUCCAAGUCAGGGGUGAAAUCUUUCAGCUUAACUGGAAAAUGGCCUUUGAUACUGGAUGUCUGGAGUGAGGUAGGGGCAUGCGGAACUUCCGGUGGAGCGGUGAAAUGCGUAGAUAUCGGAAGGAACACCGGUGGCGAAGGCGGCGUGCUGGACCUCAACUGACGCUGAGGCGCGAAAGCCAGGGGAGCAAACGGGAUUAGAUACCCCGGUAGUCC